GAUGAACGCUAGCGGCAGGCUUAAUACAUGCAAGUCGUGGGGCAGCAUGACUGUAGCAAUACAGUUGAUGGCGACCGGCAAACGGGUGCGGAACACGUACACAACCUUCCUUUUAGUGGAGAAUAGCCCAGGGAAACUUGGAUUAAUACUCCGUAACAUAUAGAAGUGGCAUCACUUUUAUAUUAUAGCAGCAAUGCGCUAGAAGAUGGGUGUGCGGCUGAUUAGAUAGUUGGCGGGGUAACGGCCCACCAAGUCGACGAUCAGUAACUGGUGUGAGAGCACGACCAGUCACACGGGCACUGAGACACGGGCCCGACUCCUACGGGUGGCAG
RNAcentral lists this ribosomal RNA (332 nucleotides) under uncultured Bacteroidota bacterium. Its description in RNAcentral is "bacterial SSU rRNA". It matches the Rfam family "Bacterial small subunit ribosomal RNA", at positions 28 to 351 of the family's 1533-position model. Lineage: Bacteria; Pseudomonadati; Bacteroidota. The record is from RNAcentral.